CAUACUACCGAAGCUAUGGAUCCCAAGGGAUGGUAGGGGAGCGUUCCAUGAACGGAGAAGUACGACCGAAAGGACGUGUGGAGAUCAUGGAAGAGAGAAUGCCGGUGUGAGUAGCGGAACGUGGGUGAGAAUCCCACGCACCGAAAACCCAAGGUUUCCAGAGGAAGGUUCGUCCGCUCUGGGUAAGUCGGGACCUAAGGCGAGGCCGAAAGGCGUAGUCGAUGGACAACAGGUAGAGAUUCCUGUACCCGUAUAUAUGUGAAGGAAUGACGGAGAGAGGAAGCUGCAGCCAGCGGCUGGAAGAGCUGGUGCAAGCGAGAUAUCGGGAUGGCAGGCAAAUCCACCAUCCGAAACGAGAAGGCGUGAAGCGUACGGAAAGCUACGGCGAGUACGGAAGGCAGUGGAGGAACUUCCAAGAAAAGUUUCUAACGUUAAGUAUAUAUGGCCCGUACCGAAAAUGGACACACAUGGGUGAGGAGAGAAUCCUAAGGUGAGCGAGAGAACUAUAGCUAAGGAACUCUGCAAAAUGACUCCGUAACUUAGGGAGAAGGAGUGCUCAUAGAGAUAUGAGCCGCAGUGAAACGGCCCAAGCGACUGUUUACCAAAAACACAGCUCUCUGCUAAGCCGCAAGGCGAAGUAUAGGGGGUGACGCCUGCCCGGUGCUGGAAGGUUAAGGGGAGGGGUUAACGCAAGUGAAGCCCUGAACUGAAGCCCCAGUAAACGGCGGCCGUAACUAUAACGGUCCUAAGGUAGCGAAAUUCCUUGUCAGGUAAGUUCUGACCCGCACGAAAGGCGUAACGAUUUGGGCGCUGUCUCAGCUGUAGACUCGGUGAAGUCUUAGUACCUGUGAAGAUGCAGGUUACCCGCGACUAGACGGAAAGACCCCAUGGAGCUUCACUGCAGGUUGAUAUUGGGAUUUGAUGCAGCAUGUACAGGAUAGGUAGGAGGCAAAGAGAUGGAUACGCCAGUAUUCAAGGAGCCGCUGUUGGGAUACUACCCCUGUUGUAUUGGAUUUCUAACCGGACGACGUAGAGCCGUUGACGGGACAGUGUCAGUCGGGCAGUUUGACUGGGGCGGUCGCCUCCCAAAGAGUAACGGAGGCGCCCAAAGAUACCCUCAGCUUGGAUGGAAACCAAGCGCAGAGUGCAAAGGCAAAAGGGUGUUUGACUGCGAGACCCACAAGUCGAGCAGGGACGAAAGUCGGGCUUAGUGAUCCGGCGGUGCUGAAUGGAAAGGCCGUCGCUCAACGGAUAAAAGCUACCCUGGGGAUAACAGGCUGAUCUCCCCCAAGAGUUCACAUCGACGGGGAGGUUUGGCACCUCGAUGUCGGCUCAUCGCAUCCUGGAGCUGAAGUCGGUUCCAAGGGUUGGGCUGUUCGCCCAUUAAAGCGGUACGCGAGCUGGGUUCAGAACGUCGUGAGACAGUUCGGUCCCUAUCUGUCGUGGGCGCAGGAAAUUUGAGAAGAGCUGUCCUCAGUACGAGAGGACCGGGAUGGACGCAUCAAUGGUGGACCAGUUGUCACGCCAGUGGCAUAGCUGGGUAGCUAAAUGCGGAAGGGAUAAACGCUGAAGGCAUCUAAGUGUGAAACCCACUU
Molecule: ribosomal RNA, 1595 nt
Filed under: human gut metagenome
Description: bacterial LSU rRNA
Rfam family: Bacterial large subunit ribosomal RNA
Source: RNAcentral